Molecule: long non-coding RNA, 393 nt
Filed under: Oryza brachyantha (malo sina)
Lineage: Eukaryota; Viridiplantae; Streptophyta; Magnoliopsida; Poales; Poaceae
Description: long non-coding RNA (OBRA_LNC003313)
Source: RNAcentral
UGCUCAUGGUUGCUCUCUCAAUGGACAUGAGCAGAGAGAACACUCCAUCCAUGGAGCCUGUUGCUAUGGGUGUUGGCAUAGGAAGCACCGGGAGUUCUCUUUUCACAAUCGUUUUGGGAUGGACCGGCGACUCCAUGAGCCUCACCUUGGUGACUGGAAGCAUGCAACAAUGCCAUCACCAGUUCACCACUGCCCACCCUCUGGCUAUGGAUGCUCUAGUGGAGAAAAUUUAAAUUGAUUUUGGUUCUUUUCUCAGUUCUAAUUUGUCAAAUGCAUCCAUAAGUUAUCGAGCUACUGAGAAUUGUAGGAGAAUCAUGAAUGGAUAGUAUAGUUUUGAAAGGAUAUGAAACUGUAAAAUUAUCAUGUCAAAGCAAGUAAUGAUUGUUGCAUGUU